This 985-nucleotide unclassified non-coding RNA is filed under the name Penaeus monodon (black tiger shrimp). Its description in RNAcentral is "uncharacterized LOC119578986, transcript variant X1". The record is from RNAcentral. Lineage: Eukaryota; Metazoa; Arthropoda; Malacostraca; Decapoda; Penaeidae.
CAGUUGUAACACAGUGAGCGAAGGAUUAGGACGCAUUCAAGAUGAACAUGUUUCAAAGAGCGUUGAUCGUCGUGCUCUCCGUGCUGGUGUUCGCGUUUUCCGUCGCGGCGCAGAUCGAAAUUGGCCGGGGACCCAACUCACUACCAGGUUUCAGGAGCAGACUUGGACACAGGGGGAGACUUGGUCUUUUGAGGCCUCACCAUGACGACCGUUUCUGGCACGACUUUGACAUCCAUGGUUUCACUAGAUACGGAUAAGAACCGGUCGUGAGAAACAAGGCUUUUGAAUCCGGACACCCAGACCUCAGAAAUUUCCUAAAAAAAAAGACCGUUUUAGAGUCUUAAAGUCAAAAGGAUUAAAUAUACCGAGGAUGGAAUGGAUUGACAAUACUGUAAUAAAAUCUCAUGUGAUGAAUUCUGUUCAGGAAUGUUUAUGUUACGAAAGACCUGAGUAUGUGAAGUGAACAAAUGGUUAUUUUGUAGUAUAUUGGUGUAUUAACAUUUCAGUUUUUUUUUUUUUUACUGUGAGAGCUCCCAUUCUUAUAAGUCUAUUAGGAGAAUUUAGUAUUCUAUACCCUACAUAUAUCAAGUUUCAGUUUACACACUUUAUUUAGAAAAAUCAAUUAGAAAAUAGAUACGGCUUUUGCCAAAAAGCUGAAAUCUGUUCUAUCUUUUGCUCAUUAAUCAAAAUUUGCUCCCGUUUCUUUAUUUUCUCCUGUUCAUAGUAUGUUCUUUUUUUCUUUUUUUCUUUUUUUUUAUGAUUAAAUAUAUUAGAGGAGAUCCUUUCAAGGAAAUGUUAAUAUUGUGAUUGCUAUAUGUGAUAUUAUCAUAUGUUUGUUAUUUAUAUUUGCGUGUGGAUUUUGCUAUGAAUGUUUGUCUGUGUGUAGAUAGUUGUAUAGUAUAUAGUCGUAAGCCAAAUAUGCAUUUAUGCGAUAGAUAGAAAAUUAGUGUAUAAGCUGCAAUAAAUUUUUUUUUCUCUCUCUCUC